UUUAGUGUAAAAUUCCUAUUAAAAUGAUUAUUAAAAUUUUUAUGAUUCAGUACAUAAUUUUUUACAAGUUUGGAAGAUUAGAGAAGAAACCAUAAAUUCAGACAUCAAGUAGUAUCAUUGAUCUGGACUCUGAUGAUGUUUUGUAUUUUGUAUUCUUUAAAAAGAGGUGGUGAGGAAAGUUUCCAAAAUGGGAAGAAGACAAGGAUUGUCUUAUAUUUGGUUCAUUUCUGUACUCCCAGGACCUCAAACAGGGCCUGUAAGGAAGUUGAAACUCAUUCAUUCCUGCAUUCAUUCAUUCAUUCAUUUAAAAAAAUCUUUAUUUGGCCCAUACUAUGGGCCACAUGCCUUGCUAGGCCCUACAGAUAGUAGACAAAAAGAAACAGAUGUGGUCCUGCCCUUACAGAGGUUACAUAGGCAUACAUCAAAUAAUUACAAAGACAAACAUAAGCUUUCACUGUGAUAAACAAUAUGAGAGAUGAUUAGGUACUCCAUAGCAGAAUAAAUAGGGAGAUUGUAUGUAAGUAGGUAGGCAGAGGAAGGCAUCGCUGAGGAUAUGAAAUCCAGCUGAAGUGUAAAGAAUGAAUAGGGAUUAGUUGUGUGAAGAGGGAAAUGCAAGAGGAAAGCAUUGCAAGAAGAGGGAUGGUCGAAGAAUCGGUAGAAGUACAGAAACUUGAGAGAACGAAAAAAGGGCAGCGCAUAUGGAACAGUUAGAGAAAUUAAGAUCAAGAACGACUGGACAGCAACAAACCCAGAAUUCUAUUCUUUAAAAUAGCAUUAGAAAGUCUAAUACCUAGGAAUAAAUCUAAUGGAAGAUGAAAAAAACCUCUACACUGAAAACUCAAAAGCAUGAUCGAGAUAAAGUAAAGUAAACCUAAAUGGAUGGAGGGAUUAUUUUGUUUAUGUAUUGGAAAAUUCAGUAUUGUAGGAUAUAAAUUCUCUUCAAAUGGUUUAUAGAGGCAAUAAAAUCCCAAACAAAAUUUCAGCAAUUUAUUUUGAGAUUGACAAACUGAUUCUAAAAUGCCAAUGGAAAUGCAAAUAGCAAGGCAAUCAUGAAGAACAAUGAACUGUAGGAGCUAAAUUGCCAGAUAUAAAGAUUGAUUAUAAAGCUAUAGAAAUUAAUACAAGAUGAUAUUGGUGGAGGUAUAGAUCACUAGACCAAUGGAUCAGUAAGUCCAGAACAAACUCACACAAAAACAAUCACUUGAUUCAUAACAAAAGGAGUAUUUCAUUGCUGUAGGGAAAGACAUGGUCUUUUAAUAAAUUGCACAUCUAUAUGGAAGAAAGAGUUUCUUGAACAGUAUUAUAUGCCUUACAGAAAGAAACAAAAUCAAUCCCAGAUGUAGUUUAGAUCUAAUUGUGAAAGGUAAGACAAUGAAGAUUUUAGAAAAAAGCAAACACUAUUACUUACUUUAUGCUGGGUAAGUAAAGAUUUAUUCCAUAGGACACGGAAAAGACUAACCAUAAAAACCGAUAAAUCAGAAUACACUAAACAGUAACCAUUAUUCAUCAAAAUGCGCCAUUAAGAAUGUGAAGAGGAAAGGCACAGACUGGGAAAAAAUAUUUGCAAUAUUUAUUUCAACAAAGAACUCAUAGCCAGAAUAUAUGGGGAAAAAAAGCAACAACCCUCAAAUUCAUUUGACAUUGUCAACGAUACAAUAGACAAAAUGAGAAAAAAGCUUGGGCAGCCACUCCAUAAAGAGAAUAUCCAAAACCAAUAACCAAAUGAACAGCACUCAAGUUCUAAAAUCACAAGGGAAGUACAAAUUAAAGCCCAAUUUGAUAUGAGUGCAUAGUUACUGUUAAAAUGAAAAGAACAGAAAAUGUCAAAUGUUGGGACACUGAAACUCGAUAUAAUUUUGAUGAGAGCAUAAAUUGGUAUAUGCAUUUUAGAAAAUAUCAGAAAUAUCUGCUAAAGCAGAAUAUAUCCAUGCCCUAUAUUUAGAUAUAACCUCACAAAAUAGCAUAGGAGUAUUCAUCAAAAGACAUGUACAAGAAUGCUUAUAACAGUAUUAUUUGUAAUAGUUAAUACUGCAAAUGACUCAGAUCUUCAUCAACAGUAGAGAGGAUUUAAAAAGUGUAGUGUGUUCAUAAAAUGAAUUCUAUGCAGCAACAGAACAAACGGCACGUUUGUAUACACAACAAUGUAUGUUGUUGGCAGAGGAAUGAAAUAGAUCGAUGAUCCUGAAAAGUUAGUACAGAAAUAAACCAACACAUACAUAGUCAGCUCACAUAUGAUGAAAGAGAUGUUUCAGUAUAGUGCAGACAGCUUAAUUUUGGACAAAAGAAGCCAGAUUUAUAAACUACACAUUGCACAUUCUCAUGUAUAGAAAGUUGGAAAACAGGCAAAAGUAACCUGUGGUGGCAGAGGUCAAGAUAGUGGUCACCCUUGUGGGCUAGUGACCAAAGGGGACUGAGAGGACACUUCUAGGCACAGGAAAUAUUCUGUUUCUUGAUUCUGGGAGCUGGUUCCACGGGCACAUUAACUUUAUGAGAAUCUAUCAAGCUAUACACCUAAGAUUUGUGCACUUUUUUGUACCAUGUUAUACUUUAAUAAAAUGUUUACUUAAAAAGUUAAAGAAAGAUAUAAGUCAAAAUUGAAAGCAGAUGCAGACAAAGCACAGUGUUAAAAACUAUGAUAUCUUUAUCGUUUAUCUAAGAAAUAGAGAAAAUAGUUGAAAGGUUUUAAUAAGGAAUAUUGGUCUUAUCAGAUGGCAGUGACAGGAGAAAAGAAAAAAUAUGGACAGAAUAGGGAUAUUUGGUGGGUUAAAUCAACCAAAUGUGCUGAUGGACUCAAUAUUGCAGGAGGCAGAGGGAGCAGUUGUCACGAUCCCCAGCCUUAGGCGUGCAUACAUGGAUGGAUGGCAGUACUAUACUCUUUGAAUUCAAAUUCUAGUUUCCUGGAAGGAAAAUUCUGAAUCGGCCUUUGGAAAAAUUAAACAUGAAGUGCCGUUGAACCAUCUAAAUGAAUGAUGAGUAGAUAGUUGAAUAUAGAGGUCUACACCACAAAUAGAAGUCAGUACCAGAAAUAUAUAUUCAUAAGUUAUCUGUCUAUGGAUAGAGGACAAAUUGAAUAGGGAGGAUAUCAAUAACGUGAGAAAAGUAGAAAGGCUGAAUCCUGAGGAACUUCAGCAGUGAAUGGCACUGUAGUGAGAAAUGAACAAGUAUAUAACGCACAAGUGGUCAGACAGGUAGAAUAAAAUCUAGGGCACAGGUGGAUCAUAGAAGGCAAGAGAAAGAAUUAAGAAAAAUGGGAAGGCCAGUAGUGUUGACUGCUGUUGAGAGGUCAAAUAAGGGGGAAUUCAGAUUAUACAUUUAUUCAGCAGAAUAAAUAAUUCUUGAAUGAAUAAAUAAAUUAUUGAAGUUAGAUUUUCUGUACAGUUAAUAGUGUAAAAGAAAACCAUUGCUUUGGAAAAUACCGGAUUGAACUGGGUGAAAGUAAACAGCACAUCAUUCACAGGGUGGAGAAUGGAUCCAAACAGGAAUUCUUUACACUUUGUGUUUCUAGUAACCUUAUGUUGAUCAUCUUCCAAAACCUCACUAUAGAAAAAGGUUCUAAUUUGACAUUACAGAAUCUGGUCUUUUAGAUGCAUGCUUACAAUUUUGGUUUAGUUGCCUAAAAUGAGGUUCAUGAGUCAAAACACAUUGCAAUUUGCAUUUAAACCAAAGACUUUUAAAGUCCCUAUUUUGACAUCCUGAAACUACUGGUUUUUAGGAGAGCAAUUUAAAAAUGUGGAAGUUUGGCUGAAAAUUUCAGACCAAGCAUAAUAAAAAGCAAAUGCCAAGAAUUAGAGUCAUUCUUAAAAACAUUUUCUAAGGUGAAGGGUUUCAGACUUUAUGACAAUUCUAAAAUUCUGACUUCAGGAAAACAUAAUUUAACAUCCUAUUAAUCAAGAUGGUUAAUUCUUCAGAAAUAUUGACCCAUACGUUUAUCUCUGAUAAACAAUCUUAUAAUGUAAAAAAAUAAAUAAUAGCUGGUGCGGUGUCAAAGUACUUAAGGACACAGUUCUAGAGUCAGAAAGAUGUAGUUUUGAUUCCUCGUAGUGUCAAUUUACAUAUUGGAUACAUGUUAAGCCCAGGUUCCUUCUGAAGGAAUGGGCUUGCUUGUGGCAUGUAUCUCAUAAGGCUAAGAGGAGUUAAUGAGAUCUUGUUUGAAAGGACUUAGCACAGGGCCCUGUACUCAGAGAGCAUUCACUGGGUAUAGCUAUCAUGGUGAUCGACAAAGAAUGAACACCAACAAUGCCAAGUAGGAGCUCAUGGACUUGUUCGUGCAUUCAAAAACUAUUUAUGAAGGAUAUACAAAUCAUUAGGAUCUGAGUCAGGGGCUGUGAAAGACCCAGUGAUGAUCAAGAUACUGUCCUUAAGAUGUUUAUAACAUAGAAAGAUAACUAAGAUACAUACACAAAUAGUGACUGUAAGACAAGAAAAGUGGCAUGUGCCCAAAGAAAGGAAAGAUAGAGGAAUAGGGGAAUUUAGGGAAGCUGGACACCCCUGACUUCUGAAAGCCUGGAGAAAGUUUCACUGCCAGGGACAAAUGUAGUAGAGUCACAAGCGCAGGCUGAGGUAUGGGGGGCUCUGUUUGACUCCAGACUCUAUCAUUUGUUAGUAGUGUGACCCUGUGCAAGUUACUUGAACUUCAGUGACUCAGUGCUUUCAUCCAUAAAAUGGGUCUCUAAUAAUGUCUAGUGGAUAAAUGCGGUAGCAUAUUUAUAACAGCACCUGGCACAUAGUGAGAAAUCCAUCAAUAUCAGGGGGCAAUUUUAGUGCAUAUAUCAAGCCCACUAGCCAGCUACCUGGCUUUUGUGUGUUACCUUCCCUUCCUUUUCGGGUGAGUUCUUUUUAGCCAAGGUAAUGCAGAAUGAUCCUACCCAUCUCACCUCCAUGACCCCGAUUGACAUAACCCAAGCAGGGUCAAUUAGAAUUUAGAUCCCACGGAUUUGGAAUUGUAACUAAAAGAAAGUUGAGUUCACCGGCAAGUACAAACGGAACUGCUUCAUGUGAACCUGGGAGCUGAGGGCAACAUAUCCUGUCAAUUAAAGUAGGUAGCAGAGAAAGAGCACUUAAAAAACAUAGAAUAAAGCAGACAUGAGGAGAGAAACAGAAGUGCAAAGUAGAAAACCUCAACAACUAUUUAGACCUUGCUUCCAGUUUUUCCCUUAGGCCAACUUUACUCUUUAAAUUUGAUAAUUUCCCGUUUUUACCUAAGGGAAUACAAAUUAAUUCCUAUCACAGGCAAACAGAAAGCUCACUAAAUCAAGAUGGCAUAUUAACUCUGUUUUGGAGAGUAGGUAGUAGUAAGAUGAAAUGAUGAAAGAGAAGGACAAUUUGGCAGCUGAAACAUCUUGAUCAAAGAGACUCAUUAAAACUGUAUAUAAUUCACUUCAGUUUGACUUGAGGACAUGGUAGAGAAAAGAAAGUAGUGAGUAACAAAUGUUAUAAUAGUAGUUAGGUUUCAGAUUAUGAAGAGUCUGGAACAAUGUGGUUAAGCACGUGAUGUGACAAGAAGGGAUUUUGAGAUAGGAAUGAUAUGAUUGGACUUGUGUUUUUAUGAUGAUAGUAAUGAUUAAUUAAAAUUUAUAGAGCACAUAAUAUGGGUUAUGCCUUUUGCUAACCUUUUUAUGUGCAUUUUUUUUACUUCAUUUUCCAACAACCCCAUGAACUAUGAACCUUGUGAUCAUAUUUUCAGAUUUCAGAUACAAAACCCUAGGCUUGGAGAGGUUAUAUGAUUUGCCAAAGGUCACAGAGCUAGUAUGUAUCAAGCCAAGCUCUGCUAAUAUUAAACUUUUAACAAGCAUGCUAUAUUUCCCAUAGCAUGUUGAAUGGAUUUACAAAACUUAUAACCUCUACAGGGGCCAAACAGGUAAUAAAAUGAGCCAAACAGCUCACAUGUAAAAUAACAGGGAACAGUAGAGAUUGUGGCAAACUCGAGCUAAAUGUAAGAUGCAUUCAACUUCCAAGAGAAUUCAAAUUCUAUUUCUUUUUUUGGAAAUUGAAUCUAUGGAACAUAUAUUGCCCUUGGAUCAAGGCUGAUUAGAUUAGAGGAGAGCCUUGGGAUAAGAAGAUCAAUUAUAUGAUCAUUAUAAGUUAAGAGGAGAGAGAAAAUGAGAUUUGAGUGGAAGUAGGGGGAAAAAAGAGGAAGGCCUAUAACUCAGAGAUACAAGGAGAUCUUGAUGUCAUACAAGGAAGCUAAAGUGAAAGGCAGGGAUACACUCUACCGUUAAAAUUUAAAGAGUCUUUGACUAGAAUGGUGGUAGAAAUAGAACAUAAAAGGAUGGGGAAAUAGAACACAGAAGGAUGGGGAAAUAGAACAUAGAAGGAUGGGAAGGAGAAAGAGGGGUGGAUGAGUGGAGAUGGUAAAUAUAGGCAAGAGACCACUGAAUUUGAUGUUUUGGCUGGUCUCACCUUGGAGCCAAUUUUCAAGUACUUGAAAAUAAGAGACUAAAAUGGCAAAGUUUGCAUCUAAACUAUGGCUAUUUUAUUGAUUCAUACAAGCUAUUUGUUUUAGAAUAACUAUAACAUUCCUUAGGUCAGAAAACUCUCGUUUGGCUUACCUGUCUAGUAGGAGUGACUGAAUUGGACUGAAUUUGGAGACGUGAGAACUUCACUCCCAAACUACCAGGAGCUUCCAACUAGUCCAUGAGGCUCUUGCUAGGAAGAAGAAUGGGUGGAGGAGCCAGGAAGCUUGGGUGAAUCCUGCCUUCUCAUCGACAGCCAUGUGGCCAUGGACAUAAGACUCCACCUCUCUGAGACUCUCUUCCCUCAACUACUAAAUGAAGAUGAUGAUCACACCUGCUUCUAAAGGUUUCAGCUUACAUCAGGCAUCCCAGCUCCGUUUGCUGUGCGAAUGUACCUUCAAACUCUCCAAGUUAUAAAAAGUUUACUUCCUGACUCUCCUUCCUCAUUGAGACUCAUUGAGACUUUGCAGUAGAUAUAAUGGAAAAUGCUUUUCAGCACCAACUCCACUAUUCACUGCUUUGAACACCGCAAUAAAUAGAAAGGACAAGAAUUGAAAGUCUUUCUUUUCCCUCUUAGCUUUUUCUAAGUGCUGAACUGAAUAGGUGUCAACUUUCUGUUGUAGCCCUGGCAGUUCUUACUUUCAAAAGAACAAUCAGAAGGAAACCCUUUCAGAAAAUUGAUCCGCCAAAGUUUGAAAUGCUUAAAAAUAAACUGUCACUUCUGUCUGUUUCCCCCUACACAACCUGUCAACCUCACCUCUGGCUUCUUAUUUUCCAAACCCUAACAGCCAGGCAUUCUUUUUCAAAAGGCUUCUCUGAAGCUUCUUCUUUGUCAGGAGUAUUGUAGACCCUGACCAAAUAUUUUAUAAAUUGGAGGGAGACCUGAAUGCGGAUAAAAGCCGACCAGUGCUCCCUGCUGCCCUGACACCUCCACCCGCCGAGUUCUGAAAUUUGGGUUAAGAAACAGUAUUUCUUCUAAAUCCAGUUUGACAAUUUCCAUCCUCAGUAUUUAGAAAAAAGUAUAUAUAUAUGUACAUAUAUAUGUAUGGUAUAGAUCUAUAUCUAUCUUUAUAUCUAUUUCUUGUUCAUCCAGCACCCUAGAUUUGAGCUUCUUUAUUGGGGUUCCUAGCAGAAAUAGGCUCAAAUAGUUUCAAACAAGCUUUCAUUGUUGGAUUCCCCCCUGCCCAGAACAUGUCCUUCCCAAAGAAUUUCUUUUCCCUAAUAAAGUCUGUGGUCUCCUAUAAAUGGGGGUAUGUGCUCAAGCAAUUGUGCUAGAAGCCAUGUGUUAAAUCUGACAUGUCGAUAAGGAUUAUCCCCAAAAGUCCAUAUUAACCUGCCCAGAGGGGCAUGUUGUGAUUUUGUGACAUUGUUCCUGAUAUGAGUAUCCUCAUCAAAGCACGUAUAGAUAAGAAUUGGAAAUCAACAACAUCAUUACACGUUUCAACUAAGAAACACUUUUCUGAAAGGAUCCUUCACCCUCUAGGAGAAAUAAGACACACAAAAUUUUAAAGUGGCAAUAAUAACUAGUUUUACAGAAUGUCAGUAAUUUAUAAUGUAAGAUUAGCUGGUGGGUUGAUAUUUUGUCUGUUUGUGUUAAAUAUGUGAGUCCUUUCCUAAAAGGCGGUAAAAGCCAUAUAUUCUGUAAUUUCAGAAUGAGAAAGAUGAGAGAGUCUAGUUUAAGAAAUUCAGAUCUCACAUAUAAACUUUAAUUGAACAAUGGUCUUGCCUCUGCCCUGGGUUAGAACUGUCCUUCAUCAUAGUCCCAAUGUUUUGUUUGGAUAAAAGUCUAGAUAGCUGCAUCUACAGCCUGCAUUGCAGCACAUUCUCUGUCCUCUUUGGUUAAUUCCCCAUUAUUUUUGUAUCCUAUUUACUCCCUUUGCUAAAUUGCAUAUUUCUUAAAAGGCAAGCCAUGACUCACUCAAUCAUCUGUGCGUCUAUCACGUUGCCCGACCUGGAUGUGCUGCCUAUAAUAACUGCUUUGGAAAUGUCAGUUAAAUAUACAAAAGCCAAGGAUGCUAUGGAUAGGAAAGUCAACACUGCAAUUUCCUCUGACAUCACUUCCCUCCUUCCAGAAACAGAGCCGCUAAAAGCUAAAUCCUCUACCCAGUAUUUUGUGGUUAUUGAUCUUUGACUUUCGUUUUAUUGCUAUACCCAAAGAAUCACCAAAUAACAUUGACUCCACCUUUCUUUCUUAUUUCUUCCCUCCCACAUCUCUUUAUAUGACGGCCCUAACUCUGUGGUGUUAGAGUCAGAGAUUUAAAUUCUACUUGUUGUCCUCACAUUUAAAAAUAUGUUAUGGUUGUGGACAAUUAUUUACUCUUCACACUUCCCUUCUCUACAAAAGUGAAGAGGUGUGAUCAUUAAAACAGGGAGAUCCCUGUGAUUCUGAUUGUGAAUUUAUGACUGGCUUCUAGAAUAAGCUAAUCCUCUUAAACAUCGUGUUUUUCCAAUCUCUGUUCAAACACUUCUGUUAGGUAAAAUUCUCAAAGCUCUGGCCUUGCUCCCUCAUGGAUUUAAAGAUAUUCCCUCUUACUAUGACUUACAUUUUUAGAUUGUGAGUUUAUCUUUCUUUGAUUAUUAUCUAUAGAGAUCCUUUAAAAGCUUGGAUUGUAGGUUCUCCAUUUGUUUCCAGCAGAGGUUGUAACCACUGGGAUCACUUUUUGUAGCAAUUACUUAGCUUGGAAGUUAACCAAGGGCAGGCCCCAUGUUAACAGGGGAACCUCUCUCUCUCUUCCUCUCCCUGUCCCUUUGUUUCUCUCCCUGGAGCACAGGUUAAGACAGACAAGCUUCUAGCAAGUGGGUGGAUUUAUUCUCACCCAUCCCUUUGAGGGUCUGGUUUAAUGUAAAUGUCUCAGGUCCACAUCCUAAAUGUACAGUCCAAGGCCUUAUCUCCAGACCCCAUGCAGCUAUUCAAACUCUCUCUCUCCAACAGAGCAAUACAACUGACAGCUCAUAUUUUCCACUCUCAUGUUUUAUUGUCUGUUUGUUGUUUUUUGAGAAUUUUCUUUGCAUACUUAUGAGCUAAGAUACACAUUUAAACGGAUAGUUACAUUUGAUACAUCUGUUGUUUUUAUUUUAUAUUAUUUAUUUUAUGAUUUUUUUUAGAAUACAGGUUUCCACGUUGCUCCAAGUGGAAUCUCCCAAUAGCUUCUGAAGUAAUAGGCUACUUUAUUUUCUCUUAUUUUAGUAGAUCUGGCAUACUAUGGUCAGCAUAAUGAUCUGAAAAUAUUAUCCUAGUCUCUUACGUGACCCCCAGGAUAAAAAUCAAAACUUCUAUGCCAGUCAUACAGUACUCCCUACAAAUCUUUCCCCAUCCUUCCCUGUCAAUCAUACCUUCCCAGGCCUCUGCAGGAACUAUGCUUUCCCACUGCUGAGCCAUGGUAGAUGCUCCUGAGUAUAUCCCAAAUCACCUGUAUGUGACCCUCCCUCAGUUCAAACCGAUCCUUCUUUCAGGGGUGAGUUCAAGCCUCACUUUCUUUGAGAAGCUUCGCUGAUUACUCAGACACCCAGAGAUCUUGCCCUGUCCUCGAAAACUCACUGUCUACUCUAAACCACAUACCCCAUGCAAAGGUUUGCAACUUCUAAUUCGUACUGGGACAGGCAGGUGACAUGAGAGAGUGAUGUGGACUGGGUAUAAGGGGUCAAACGUGAAACCACAAUUAUAAAUGGUAAUCGACAUCUGGCCACAGUGUCAGGGAGAUGUUAGGAGGAGUGGCAAGAUGGGCAGUGUGACAAAACUGUAAAGAGAACAGCUGCCACUGAGCGUCAUCUCAUUACUCCCAUUCAGAAAGACCAGGCAGUGUUGUUAGAACUUCCAAUUUUUGAGGAAAGCCAGAAGUCUGCAUUUUUAGAUAAAAUCUAGUAAUUCUUUUAUUUUUUCAACUUUGUUAAGGUAUAACUGACAAACAAAACUGUAAGAUAUUUAAAGUAUACAUCAUGAUGAUUUGAGAUAUGUCUACAUUGUGAACAAAUUCCUCCCAUCUAGUUAAUUAACACAUCUAUCACCUCAUAUAUUUAUUUACUUUUUUUAGGAGAACAUUGAAGUUUUCCUCUCAGCAAAUUUCAAUUAUGCAAUAUGAUAUUAUCAACUAUAGUCACCAUGUUAUAUAUUAGAUCCUCAGACUGAAGUGUGUUCCCUUUUACUAACCUGACCCUAUUUCCCCAGCCUCCAGUCGCUGGCAACCACUUUUCUAAUCUCUGUUUCAAAAUCUAGAGAUUCUUUUUUUUUUUGCCAAGGAAUAUUUGCCCU
This is a non-coding RNA of Equus caballus (horse), 10701 nucleotides long. NCBI's taxonomy places the organism in Eukaryota, Metazoa, Chordata, Mammalia, Perissodactyla, Equidae. The record is from RefSeq and is a predicted model, not a curated record.